CUACAGGCAAGGAACGAGAGGCUUAUCUCCGUAAAGCCACUAAAGAGAAGCAGCGGUUGGUGCAAGCUGUGUGGCGGUGAGGUGAGUGUAGCUCGGGAGCUGUUUUGCUGAACAUUGCAGUAGGCAAAAACGUGCGCACACGUUACGUGCAUUGAGUGCCUUGUGCAAAAAGCAUGAGGAAGAUAGGUGGUACCACGAUUAUUCGCCCUGUCC
Molecule: non-coding RNA, 213 nt
Filed under: Phascolarctobacterium sp.
Lineage: Bacteria; Bacillati; Bacillota; Negativicutes; Acidaminococcales; Acidaminococcaceae
Description: T-box sequence
Rfam family: T-box leader
About the family: Uncharged tRNA acts as the effector for transcription antitermination of genes in the T-box leader family. T-boxes are found upstream of many aminoacyl-tRNA synthetase genes and some amino acid biosynthetic genes usually in Gram-positive bacteria. The anticodon of a specific tRNA base pairs to a specifier sequence within the T-box motif, and the NCCA acceptor tail of the tRNA base pairs to a conserved bulge in the T-box antiterminator hairpin.
Source: RNAcentral